GCGCGGAGCGGCGGGGAGUCUCCCGAGAAGCCCCAGGAGGCCGGAGCCAGCCCGAGGAGACUCGGCGGGGCCCGGGGACGAGCUGUAAGGCGGCCGGGAUGGGCCAAACCGGGCCGUCCGUAAAACCCCGGCGCCCUCUACCGGUCCCGCCGCCUCCCUGCAGGCAGCCCGAGGCGGAGAGCGCGGGAACCGCCAGCGACCCCCCGGCCGACGCUCGCGCCCUGCCCCGCAGCCGCCCCACUGCGCGCUCACUGCUGCAUCGCCCCUGCCCUGGGGCUAGUUACCCCCUUACUAAGCAUUGACCUUCCCCUGCCCGCGCCUAGCGAGGACCUAUGUCCCCGCUGCGGCCCCUGCCAUCGCACGCCCCUGCCGUAGUGCUGUGGGCACCGUUUGUUUGGGCGGGGGGCGGCUGCUUUAAGAGGCUCAGCUAAGCUGUCUGCCACUGUACUUAACAUAUUAGGCAACAGAUUUGUACACGGACUACGGCCCCAUCCUGCAAAGACUACACAGGUGCUUAACUUAAUGCACUGUGACUAGCCCUACUGAAGUCAAAUUAAGCUCUCACAGGAUCAGAGCCUGAAGGUGGAAAGAUAUUUACAUAUGGAAUAGGCCUCUUUUAAACUUAAAAAGACAGUAAUGGUUCUUCUGAUUUGCAAUAUAAAAAGUGCAGCAAUCUGCAUGGAACUUGGAAGGAGGAGCACAAGUUGCAGAAGGGAAAAGUUUGGAGGAGGAAUUGCAAUAUGAAGGGACAAGAGAAACUCCAAUUUGGGGCUUACAGAUCUGGUAGCAGAGACUACAGGUUCAGUUUUGAAGGUUCCCCUAGACUGUUGAUCCUGCGAGCUUUGGUAUAGCUCGAUGGAUAACUCCUCAGAGUCAGGGAGAAAGCGAGCUGCACCUGCCUGGGGAUCAGAGGGAGAAACUACUACAGACACUCCUGACUAUGUCAACCCUCCUGAAAUGUGUGAGAGGCUGUGGCCUGCCUCAGUAAAUUCUCAGUGUGUCUAUAACAUUUUGUUACCAUUUAAAACAAGAGCACCAAGAACAACCCUCCAAGUUUAGCAAUGACAACAUAACCUCUUAGUUGGAGGGAACAUCACUCACUUCCUGAAACACUCUGUAGUUUCUCAUGGACUUCUAGAAACUGGAUACAGCCACGAGCAGCUAAAGCUUGCCUGCUUUACACCAGCAGCUCUGCCUAUGCGCUCCCCUUUCCUGUGAGCUCCCUACCCCCAACCUCUCAAUAUAAAGUACACUUCUCCACAUGCCAAUGUGGGGCACUUGCAAGUGUGAUGGCCAGCACCAGGGAUUGAAGCUACGAUUUCCAAAGCUAAAAGUCAUUAUAGCUUGUGCUAAAGAGUCUGGGUCUCAAGCAGAGAGCUAGCUCAGACUUGUAUAUAGCCUCUGUGUAUUAGGUACAAAGGGGAAUACAACUUACAUUGAACAGUGGCUUAAACAAGCAAAAUCUGUGACAAUGAGUGAAAUGUGUAUUUUGGUGUUUCACAGAUUUCUCAUAGUUUUUAAGUAAAAACCUGUUUUAAAGUGAUCUCACUGUACGAAUCAUAUACAACUAUACCAUCUUUCCACACAGAUCAGCAGCAGGAUCUGAAGCCUUUGACCUUCAUAUCCUUAGCUUAGAUCCUUAUUAUUUUUGAGAUACGGAAGUAUUUGCUGGUAAACCAGCCACUGGAGGAGGACUUGAUACAUAUGUGUAACUCACUGUUAAAAACUAUUUACUAGUCAGUAGUAGAAUAUCGGUGACAGGAAUCCUAAAUACUACUCCUGGCUGUGGGAGUGGAGGGUGGUUUUAUAGACCUGGUCUACAUUACAAACUUAGGUCAACAGAAGCCACCUUACAUUGACCUAAUAAUAUAUGUGUCUAUUAGGUCCCUUCCACCGACAUAACUCGCCUGUUACAUCGACUUAAUUACUCCACCUUUUUACCCACACAAUCUACAGCACUCUGCCUGUAUACCCUACCAAGAAUUGAAGGCAUAACCAGGCUAAUUUAGGCACCCUCUUCCAAGGGCUCAGAGCAUAAGGCACCCACCCUGAUCCACAAAGCUUGGGGAGAAACCUGGUCAAUUUUAAGUACCCAACCCUGCCCAUGGGGCUCAAGACUCUGCGGGACCUUUUCCCAGUGAAAGAGCCUUACGCAGCUGUGCUCUAAACAUCUAUUUAUGAGCAAUACACAUGUCAAGCUAAUCUAUUAUGCUCACCACUCCCAAUAUACAGACACAUUUCACCUGAUAGCCAGUCAGGAUCCACACAUCUUACACAGAGGAGUAAGAAUUCUAGCAGCUGAUGUUGAACUGCAAUUCAGAGAUGGUUCCCAAAGAAUAUUGUUUUUCAUUUACAUUAUACAGGUAAAGCUAGCUACCUCCUUCAAAUUUACUAAACCUAUCAGAUUAUCCCACACCCCUAAGUAACAACAAAAUGUAACCAAUUACACACUGACUCCUAUGUAUCCUCCUU
Long non-coding RNA from Mauremys mutica (yellowpond turtle), 2472 nucleotides. RefSeq lists it as uncharacterized. NCBI's taxonomy places the organism in Eukaryota, Metazoa, Chordata, Testudines, Geoemydidae. The transcript has 4 exons. The record is from RefSeq and is a predicted model, not a curated record.